AGGGGAGAGGAAGAAACUUUACGGCCUUUUUAUUGGCCGGUUCUUUUUCUGUGUGUCCCAUACAGGCCCUCACCAUGAAGGGUUUCACAGCCACUCUCUUCCUCUGGACUCUGAUUUUUCCCAGCUGCAGGAGAGGUGGCGGUGGGAAAGCUUGGCCCACACACAUGGUCUGCAGUGACAGCGGCUUGGAAGUGCUCUACCAGAGUUGCGAUCCAUUACAAGAUUUUGGCUUUUCUGUUGAAAAGUGUUCCAAGCAAUUAAAAUCAAAUAUCAACAUUAGAUUUGGAAUUAUUCUGAGAGAGGACAUCAAAGAGCUAUUUCUUGACCUAGCUCUCAUGUCUCAAGGCUCAUCUGUUUUGAAUUUCUCCUAUCCCAUCUGUGAGGUGGCUCUGCCCAAGUUUUCUUUCUGUGGAAGAAGGAAAGGAGAGCAGAUUUACUAUGCUGGGCCUGUCAAUAAUCCUGAAUUUACUAUUCCUCAGGUAAGAUAUUACUUAAUUCUUGUAUUAAAUAGUUUGUUUCUUGAAGAAGAAGAAGGCUAGAAGAAGGAGGAGGGAAAGGAGGAGAAAGCAAGAAAGAAGAGGAGGAGAAGGAAAGAAUUAAACAGUUUAAAACUUAUCCAUAGGCCAUCCCUGCAAAAACCCUUUCUUCAUAAAACUGCUGCUUCAGAGUGGGCACUUGAAAUUUCUUGACACACAGGCUUUGUCAUUUUGGCAUUUAAUAUUUUACAUGUCAGUGAACCUUAGGGAAUCCUCCGAGUACAAACCUCCCACUGAGAGGGAUGCCAGCGUCUUGUCCAGCAGGAUUACGGCAUUUGUGGGGUUCCAUAUGGCAGUGCUGCUGGGCUGUAUGGGCGGCACCAUGCAUGCGCUGGGACCGAGCUCAGGAGGCUGGCGGUUCAGAGAAAGGAAGACGCACAAGCCAUGAAGGCGUGAAGGUCCUCCAGUUACUGUCCUUUCACUGUUACUCAUGAGCUGCCAUUAAGUCAAUAAAAUGCCCACAUCCUUAGCAUUUGCUGGCAAAGCUCACAGCUAAGAGUAGAAUUUUCCACUAAUUCCUUUCUGUUCAAGAUAAUGUGACAUUAUUAAAUGGCUCAAUUUACAUCACUCUGCUAUAAGCAAUAAAUGUUCAAUAUGCUACCCCUCAGAUAAUUUUUUUUUUUUUGAGACAGAGUCUUGUUCUGUCUCCCAGGCUGGAUGAGCCGAGAUCACACCACUGCACUCCAGCCUGUGCAACAGAGGAAGACUCCAUCUCAAAAAAAAAAAAGAAAAAAUGUUGACCAGAUAAGUAAAAAAAAUUAUUUUAAUCACCUACAGUGCAUGAAGGAAGUGCAGAACCUAAGUUCUUCAACUGCUGAUGGUACUCAAGCAAAUAUUGCCAAGUGUGAGGGCAUCGCAUAUACAGCACAGAGAGCUGGAGGCCUUAAUCCCAAAAUGGGCUCCGUACACUGGCUGCAGGUCAGCCGUGACUGGCCCGCAAUGCACAGAGGCUUUGCUUUCUUAAUAUGGAACAGACACAGUUCAAAAACUUUCGUUUGCAAAAGACCUACCCCAUAUCUCCUCCUCCAGCUAAAUCCUCCAGAGAUGGGCUCUGGGCUAAUGGCAGUUCCCAUGUGGCCAAAAACGCUCCCACUCAGCGAUCAUUCUCCAGGGUCUUGGUAUUAUUUCCCUCUGAACUCAUCUAACCCCUUGGCCCGGAUUGAAGCCCUCCCUGGUGUCCUCUGUCUAUGCCUCCAGUUUUCUGAAUGAGAAUUUAGGGGAUCCUUUGGGCUCCCGAAGCAUGUGGACAACAACUCGUAGGCACAGCCUGACCCAUGUAUUGCCAAAGAUGCACCUACAAAUCCCUAACUUACAAACUCUGUGCCCUCCUCAACAGCAGAAACGCUGCACUCAGUCCUUCCCUACUCUGGCCUCCCGACACACACCUCCACCUGCCUCCAGCCUGGCACGCUUGCCUAAAUACUCUUAUCUCUUAUACCAGAGUCUGUGAUAUCUGUAAUUCAUGAUCUAGAACCCCUUCCUUCAAAUACAACAGCUCCUCUUAGACUCAUAAUGUAGUAAUGAAAAAUUCAUGUGGUGUUCAAUACAUUUGUAGGUGUGUAUCUAAAUGCACAUAGAGAUUUUAAAGAAAAGUACAUGAGGAGGAGGAGAAGGAUGAAACACAACGAGAUAUAAAUUUGAGCCGGUCUUUACUCAUAAUUAAUUCUCUAACAUUUGGACUGCUUUGGUUAUAUUCCUAACACUGUUUCUAAAAUUACAGCUGCUCAAUAUUUGAGGAGUAUGACUCAUGGGAGCCUCUAGAAUCAUGGAAUCACACCCAAGGCACCAUCCAGAGCACAGCCUGGUUCUCUUGAAUACAAUUUCAGUGUUGGGGACUCCACUCUCUUUGCAAGCUCUGCUCAUUGCUAGAAAGUUGCUCCCUUCUAACAAAAGCCACCUCUCAUGCAGCUUCUCUCUGGUGGUCUCACCUACUCCUUCCCUUUUGCUUUAUACAGAUUAAACUCUUUCCUCCUUUGGGUGACAGGCAGCUCAAAGAUAUGUCAGCAGUCUCCUGGCCUCCUCUGCCACAGUCCCUCUGCUCUGCUUGUGACCCUCCCACCACCCCAGAGCAUUUUCCUCUCCAGAUUCGUGUCUACAAACACAUCACCGCUCUGUGGCUGCUGGGGUGCAGGACUGGGGCGCUGGCAGCAAACAAAACCGGAAUGGCUCUUCUACAGUCCUCAUAGGACCUGGCUGCCAGGUGGCUUCUGCGAAGCUGACUGCAAAGGAAGGGAGACCUCCUCACAGCGUUGCUGCCAGCAAGGACCCCCAAAGGCAGCCAUUCUUUCUGUGACGGUGCAUUUUGGUUUUGUGCUGGUGAACUGUGCUCCCCGGGGUCUUCUCUGUCUCAGCAUACAAACCUUUCUCCCUCCAGUUCUCAGGCCAGGAGCCUUGGAGUCACCUUUAACCCAUCUCUUCCUCUCCCACCCACUUGUGUUUCCUCAGCGGAUCCUAUCGGCUAUUCUUUGAAAAUCUCUCUGGCACCCAAAGCCUUCCCCCAUCUCCACCUCUACUCCAAGUCAUCUUCAUCUCUCACCUGGAUUCCUGCAAUCGCCUCCCACCUGGGCUUUUCAGUGAGGCAGCCAGAGGGAUCUUACUGACACAGGCGCCAGGGCAGGCCACCCUCUCCUGACCCCAGUCCCUUUCAGAGUGGAAGCUGAUGUCCCCACCACGGCCUUUGAGGCCCUAAGAGUCUGGCCUUCUGUGUCGCCUUGACCUCACCCCCCAUCCCCCCCUCUCCCUGAAGCCCCACUGGCCUCCUUCUGCCCCUCUAAGGUGGGGGCCCCAGCCCAUAGCAGCACUGCACCUUCUUGCAUCUGCUUCAGGUCUUUGUCUAAAGGUAGUCAUCUCAGCAGGGCCUCCUUUCACCACCCUGCUCAAAAUUGCAGACCAGCACUCGCCUUGACCAACCCAGUGCUUCCGUCCACUCCCUUCCUGCAUGAGUUUUCUUCAUGACAUGAGCACCUGACACACCAUACAUAGUCACAUAUCAUAAGGGUGGUCUGUCUCUCCCAGAGAUGCUGUAAGCUCCGCAGGGCAGGGGUUGGCUUCUCUUGUUCUAAUGUUAUCCGCAAUGUCCAGAACAGCACCCAGCACAUAGAAGGUUCUCUGUAAAUAUUUGUUAAAUGGUUAAUUGUACUGUGGGUCACAAGUCUAAUACUUGACCUGUGCCCCUUGCAGGGAGAAUACCAGGUUUUGCUGGAACUGUAUACUGAAAAACGGACCACCGUGGCCUGCGCCAAUGCUACUAUCAUGUGCUUCUGACCGUGGCCUGUAGCAAAAAUCACAGCCAGCUUCAUCUCGUGGGACCUCCAAGCUCCUCUGACUGAACCUACUGUGGGAGGAGAAGCAGCCGAUGACAGAGAGAGGCUCUACAAAGCAGCUCCCCCAAAGACUACAGCUGCUAAUUUUAGUCCCAGGACCAGAUAUCCCCAGACUCCACAGAUGUAAUGAUGUCCACAAUGUAUCUGUUUCUAAGGAGCCUCUUGGCAGUCCUUAAGCAGUCUUGAGGGUCCAUCCUUUUUCUCUAACUGGUCGCCUCCCACCAGACUCACCUGCUUUUCAGCUUUUUAGGAGUGCUUCCUCACAGUUACCAAGAAUAAAGAAAGCUGGCCACCA
Pongo pygmaeus (Bornean orangutan) is the source of this 4154-nucleotide RNA transcript. It is a transcript of the gene named lymphocyte antigen 86, with no coding region annotated. The record is from RefSeq and is a predicted model, not a curated record. The transcript is spliced from 5 exons. Lineage: Eukaryota; Metazoa; Chordata; Mammalia; Primates; Hominidae.